AAGUCGAUCCCGGGACCCAAUCUGAUCAGUUUGGCAGUUAGGCGGUUACUGCCCAAAUGACCAUAUCGCCCCCAUAAGAACCCCUAUAAAUAGAGGGCACCCCCCACUCAUUAAAGGCAAGUCAUUUGGAGUAGAAGAAUUCCUAGCGAAGCAGAGCUCUGCGCACUUGAGUUCCGGUCCGGUUUCCCGCGGAGUUCCCCGCUUGGCGCUUGCUUGCGCGUCUUGGAGUACUGGUCGGGUUUCACCCCCAUCAUAUGCAAAUAUUGAAAUUUUUGUUGAACACCAAAUCCUGGCUAGCAUAUUCAAAUAUUGACAUCCCAUGUGCCUUGUUAAAUGGUGUACUUCCAUUCUUCACUGCGUCCUCCAAGUAGUUCCUAUAAGAUAUACCAGCAUUCCAUCAAAACUUUCUCUUGAUGUAAAAAGAAAUUGGGAACCAAACAAACACCAUGCUCGUCCUUCACAAAGUUGAAACACACAGGGGAAGCACCAUAUAAUCUACUAAUGGUGCUUCCAUCAUCACUCUUUUGCAACUUGUAUUUGAAGAUUCCAUGGCUAGCAAGGCAUCAAAGAAUGCGAUUAAACAAUACGGGAGCAUCAGGGUUGCCAAUUAGUAGUUUAUCUGCAAUCUCUUUUGUUGAUAGGAAUUUUCCAGAAUCAGCAUUGACGAGAACAUCAACUAUACCUACUUCAAUGGAGAACAUCAUUAUUGGAAGAACUGAACAAUGCAACAAUUUCAUUGUAUUAACAUAUGUCUCAUUUUCUUCCAUCUUCACUAUGUAAAAUUAUAUUUAAUGAUUGUAAAAAGUUAAUUUAAUUGAUCAAUAAGAAAAAAAAUAUUUAUGAUAUUCGUACAUGGUAUUGUAUAAUGGAUUGUGUCCUCAAAGUAACAAAUAAGUUGGAGGACUCCAAUAGCUUAGUUAAAUAAUCAGACAGCCUCAUUAUGAAAUAGGUUGUCAAUCUCUGACAGGCUAGCUAGGACUGUAGGUUUGGGUUAGAUUUGGGUGCAGCUUUUCCCAAGUCAAUGUUUUUCCUCAACCCAAAGUCCCAAACUCAAAUAAUUAUGGACAAGUCAUUGAAUAAACAAUUUGGUUUUGUAACAAACUAUUUUACUAAACAAAAAAAUUAAAUUUUUUUUUUUAAAUUAUAAGUUUAUCCAUAUCUUUUAAAAAAAUAAUUUUUUUUAAAAUUAAAUAGGUUAUUUGAGAAAGAUUAGAAUUAUAUUUAAUCUGUAUAUCUUUAUUGAAUAAAGUUUAACUAAAUUAAAUUGCCCAACUUUUGGGUAGAGAAAGAAUUGAAAAAUAAUUGCCUAACUUUUGGGCACAUGCGAAAUGAGAGAUCGUAGGACAUGUUUUUUCCUCAACCCAAACCCAAAUAAUUAUGGACAAGUGUUUGACUAAACAAAAAAGUCAAUAAUAUUUUAAAAAUUACAAUGUUAUUUGAAAAAAAUUUAAAAAAUCAUUUAAAAAAAAUUUAAAUAGGUUAUUUGAAAUUACAAUGUUUAUUUGAGAAAGAUUAGAAUUAUAAAGUAAGUUCCGUUUCAAACUUACUUAACUUCAUUCAAUAAGGAGAUUAAUAAAAAGCGAAAUAAUAUAUUUGCAUAACAUAUCUUAUCGUCGAUAAAUUUAACCCAUAAUGUUUGAACAACAGAAUCGUACAUGUCCGUGGACAAGAUGGAUGGUGUAUCUACAACCUUCCAUGUUUUAUCGAUGUAUUUGACUAUCUCGUAAUGCUCAGUUAUUACGUUACCAACAAAAUAAAAUACCUGAGUGAGAGAUUGAUGUAGAGGACGGAGAGAAAGAUGGAAAAAAUAACAUAAUCUUAUACGUUAUUUAUAAGGAUAUGGGAAGGAAACCAAAGUUGAUUAUUUGGAAAAAAAAUUGAUGAUGGAAAUCAAUUUGGACAGAUGCAUUAAUUAUUAUUAUUAGAGAUGCAAAUGAAAUUUUCUACGAAAUAUGUCUAAAAGUUCUUAAUUGGCUCCUUAUAGUAUAUCAUAUAUUAUUUGUACUCUCCCUUUCAUUAAUUGGCGGUGUUUUGUUCCCUCUACAAUCCUUCUUUACUGAUCACGUAAUUAACGUUUUCUCCUUGCUUCCUGUGCUUUGAAAAUUGGAACCACGUCCGAUCACACAUUAAAUACUCUAUAAUCACAAAAAAAGACAAAUAAUGAAAUUAUUGAAACAAUUGUUUGAAUUAUAAGAAUAAAUAAUCAGUUUUAAAUUCAUAUAUAAGAAUAGAAGAAGAAAAAAAAAAUUUAUAUUGAUCAAUCUAUGUUGAUUAUUGAAUUUCGUGCAAUUCGACACAUGGAUCUUUCUUUUUUGGGCCUCCCCUAUAAAUAGAGAUGUCGCCUUUCCUUUACCUUCACAAAAAAUUCUUAUUAAUCGCCGACCUUGUAACUGGUAAUGACUUAAAUUGAUUAAUUGACUUCUCGAUUCCAAACAUUUAACUGAAAAUACAUACAUUCUAAACUGAUUAAUAAACAAUUAUUUAAAAUCUGACCGACAAUCACACUUAGGAAAUCUUAUUGUUACUUUUUUAAAUUUAAUUAAUAAUUUAUUAAAUAAUUAUUAAUUAAAUAAAUAAUUUUUUAAUUUUAAUUUUCAAAUAAUUGUUUAAAACAUUGGAUUUUAGAUUAGUUGUUUAAAAAAAACUGAUUAUUGGAAUUUCCAAUAUUAUAUUAAUUAUUUAAUUAAUUUAUAAUUAAAUAAUUAAUUUUAAAUUAAUUAAAUAAAUAAUUAUUUAAAAACUAACUAACAAUCACACUUAGAAAAUCUGAUUGUUACUUUUUUUUUAAUUUAAUUAAUAAUUAAUUAUUUUAUAAUUAUUUAAUUAAUAUCAAAUAAUUAUUUAAUUAAUUAUUACCUAAAUAAAUAAUUUUUUAAUUUUAAUUUUCAAAUAAUUGUUUAAAACAUUGGUUUUAGAUUAGUUGUUUAAAAAAACUGAUUAUUGGAAUUUCCAAUAUUAUAUUAAUUAUUUAAUUAAUAUUAAAUAAAUAAUUAUUAAAAUAUUAUUUAAAAACUAAUUAACAAUCACACUUAGAAAAUCUGAUUGCUACUUUUUUUAAUUUAAUUAAUAAUUAUUUAAUUAAUUAAUUAAUUAUUAAUUAAAUAAAUAAAUAAUUUUUUAAUUUUAAUUUUAAUUUUUAAAUAAUUGGUUAAAACAUUGGAUUUUAAAUCAAUUCUUUAAAAAAAAACUGAUUAUUGGAAUUUCCAAUAUUAUAUUAAUUAUUUAAUUAAUUUAUAAUUAAGUAAAUAAUUAAAUAAUUACUAAAUAAUUAUUUAAAAACUAACUAACAAUCACACUUAGAAAAUAUGAUUGUUACUUUUUUAAAUUUAAUAAAUAAUUAAUUGUUAAUUAAAUACAUACUUUUUAAUUUUUAAAUAAUUGGUUAAAACAUUGAAUUUUAAAUCUGUUCUUUAAAAAAAACUGAUCAUUGGAAUUUCCAAUAUUUUAUUAAUUUAUAAUUAACUAAAUAAUUACUAAACAAUUUUUUAAAAACUAACUAACAAUCAUAAUUUUUUUUAAUAAAUAAUUAAUUCAUAAUUAAACUAAUACUAUUAAUUAAUUAAAAAUAUAACUAAUUUUAACUAAUGCAUUCAUUUUAUUAUCAUUAAUUUCAUGGUAUAAAUGUAUUGCAUUCAUUUAAAGUAAACAACUAAAUUUCAAAUUGCAUUGCAUUCUCUAAUUUCAAAAUAUAAAAAUUGAUGAAGCACGAUAUCUGCUACCAGUAGGCUUGCGGGGUUGCGAGGAGGGCCGGAGGCUUUGGAGUCCACGACGCGCGCUUUACGUCAAUGUACCUGCAGAAGUGGAGGGGAAUCGGCGACUCCCUUGGGAGUAGGCGAUUCGGGCUCCUUGGAUUGCUCUGGUGUAGUGUGGUCAAGUGUGAAUGACUUGGGAGUAGAGGACCCCCAAGGACCCCUUUUAUAGGGUCUUGGGGGACGUUUCCCCAUUCAUUAGCGUGAGGCCCACCCCAUUAUGGUGCCCUAUUGAAGGGUGCCAUAAUGAUGUGGCCCUCCCAAGUAACGGCUGGGAAUCGACGACUCAGGUAUGGGAGUCGCCGAUUCAGAGGUGGAGUCGCUGACUCCCCAUGAGCCAAGUUGGCAGUCUACCAGAACUGACCACGAGGCCUAGAGUCGGCGAUUCACCCCUGGAGUCAGCGACUUGGUAGUCCCAGUCGGCGAUUCCCAGGUGUUUCCUUGAGUACUUGACGUAGACACUUCCUCCGCAUUUGUGGAACUCUCCGGGGGUCCGGCAUAAAGCGACGGAACCCUAGUCCUUGUCGAAGGGCGUUGGUGGGAGUGACUGACGUGAUCAGGCAUGUCUCACCAGUACUCCCCCCUGAAGAGAGCAUGGCAAAACACCCGUAUACCGCCAGUAUCCCCCCCCAAGCAAGGUGAUCCGCAUCAAGGCAAGAAGCGACAAGAUGGGAUUGAGUCAUUGCGCUCACAGCGACACUAAUGACUCCGCGUGGUCCAUGCACUAUCAGAAUCUAGUUCCAGGCCAACGGAACUACAUGUUUAUAGUCCUACUCUGAUCAAGAGCGACUUUUGCUGUGUGGAUUCUGGCCGAAGCGACAGAAUGCGUGGAUUCACUAUUAGAAUCUGAUUCUGGCCGAAGCAACAAAAUGCGUGGAUUCGUUAUCCGAAUUGGGUUCUGGCCGAAGCGACAGAUCGCGUGGAUUCACUAUUAGAAUCUGAUUCUGGCCGAAGCGCGAGAAUCUAGUUCACUAUCAGAACUGAUGUUUAUAGUCUACCCUGAUCAAGAGCGACUUGGUGUCCGCAACGACGGUUACCCCAUAGGCCGAAGCGCAAGAUGGGUCGAGAUCAUUAAGGUCAAAGCGACAAAAUGAUCUCCAAAUGUUCGAAGAACUAUUGAAGCCAAAGCGACAACAUAAUUCUUGGUCUGAUUCUGGCCGAAGCGACAGAAUCAUGCCUGCAAAACAAAAAACAACCUGCAACCUGCAAAACAACUAUAUCAGUCUAAAGGAUAUAUUUAUUGAUUUACUGACCUUGCCGUGUGGAGCUGCCUCUCAUGCUGCUCCUCCUUAUGCUCAAUAAAUCCUUGAUUGAUCUGUUCGAAGCGACAGAUCUAUCAUGCUAAAAAAUGUGACAGCUUCUGGCCGAAGCGACAGAAGUGCCGACACAUUAUUAGAGUCUGAUUCUGACCAAGGCUACAGAUCCACUAUCAGAAUCCGAUUCUCGCCUCGGAUACAGAACCUGCUGAUUCACUAUUAGAAUCUGACUCACUAUCAGAGUCUGAUUCUGACCAAGGCUACAGAUCCACUAUCAAAAUCUGAUUCUCGCCUCGGAUACAGAACCUACUGAUUCACUAUUAGAAUUUGACUCACUAUCAGAGUCUGGUUCUGACCAAGACUACAGAUCCACUAUAAGAAUCCGAUUCUCGCCUCGGAUACAGAACCUGCUGAUUCACUAUUAGAAUCUGACUCACUAUCAGAGUCUGAUUCUGACCAAGGCUACAGAUCCACUAUCAGAAUCCGAUUCUCGCCGAAGCGACAGAAGUGUCUGGAGUAUUUGUGAUACUUUCUAUUGAAAUGUGACGACUUCUAAUGACAGAAGUGUCGGGAGAGUUUGUGAUACUCCCCCUCGAAAUGUGACGACUUCCAUCCCAAUUGACAGAAGUGUCGGGAGGGUUUGUGAUACCUUCCCUGUGAUACUUUCUAUUGAAAUGUGACGACUUCUAAUGACAGAAGUGUCGGGAGAGUUUGUGAUACUCCCCCUCGAAAUGUGACGACUUCCAUCCCAAUUGCAGAAGUGUCGGGAGGGUUUGUGAUACCUCCCCUCGAAAUGUGACGACUUCUAUCCAAAUUGACAGAAGUGUCGGGAGAGAGAGUUUGUGAUACUCCCCCUUGAAGCGAUUGUUAAUGGGCUAUCUUUUGUUUUAUUGCUAAUCUUUCAUAUAAAUGACCCUUUAAAUUGUAACUAAGGCCUGAAACUAGAUUCACAAGUCGUAAUUUAGCCACUCUGGACGUAAAUUAGACUCUGCUAACCCUAUUGCUAGCCACUCUGGGCGUAGACUUGGUCGUACGAAUCGUAGCUCAGCCUACGGUUAAAUUUGCGGAUAAUUUAUACCUCCGGAUUAAUGUAGAGUUAUAAAGAUAGCGUGAAUGAAAAAUCCGAAGGAUGCAAAUUUUUCAAACUCGAGGGUUACGUUUGUAAUUUACAAUUACAACUGAAGUUUGAACCCUGAUGUUGGAGAGAGCUUGUGAUACUCUCUCUUGAAACGUGACGACUUCUGAUCGAAGCGAUAGAAGUGUCGGAGAGAGCUUGUGAUACUCCCUCCUGGAAAUGUGAUGUUGUUUUACCCUGAGUCGGGAACUGGGUGUCCCAAUCGUCGACUCCUUAUGUUUUAGGUAAUUGUGAGGAUUUUGACGACUUCUGGCCGAAGUGACAGAAGUGUCGGGAGAGCUCGUGAUAUUCCCCCUCUUGUAAUGUUUUGAUAUUUUUGUAAUUUUUUGGAACUCAAUCAAUUAUUUUGCUAUCUUAAUUAAUUGUUUAUUUAAUUUAUUUUUUGAAUUGUAACUAAGACCCGAAACUAGAUUCACAAGUCGUAAUUUAGCCACUCUGGACGUAAAUUAGACUCUGCUAACCCUAUUGCUAGCCACUCUGGGCGUAGACUUGGUCGUACGAAUCGUAGCUCAGUCUACGGCUAAACUCGCGAAAUAAAUUAAACUUCACAACUAACCAAGACUCGCAAAACUAAGUGACGUAAUGAGUUGGAGAUACAAAAAUUAUCGAGAAUAGGACUUAAGAUUUUUUGAAAAACUAAGACUCUAGAUUUCAUUCCCUAAUGUAUAGUUGAACUCUGGCCAAAGCGACAGAGUAACUUUUUACCCUUAUCAAGGCCAUUGCGACAAGAUGGGGUUCAAUCGUAUGUGUUGUGGGUACUUAGAACCUCUUGGGGAUUAGGUUCAUUUGUACUUAGGACAUGAUUUGUGACCAUGAUAUAUGAGGUUGAAGAGACGGACGUCAUCCAGCCGAAGCGAUGGAUGAUUGAUCCGUCCGAAGCGAAGAGACGUAAUGCGAGCAGUGCGUUGGCACUGUGUUUUAUUCUGAUCAUCCCCACAUGUUGGGUGAUGAACUUCGAAGAGAGGUCCGCGAAGAUGGAGACCGAGCCAGCUGGCAGACCAGAGAACCACCGAUAAGCGUUGCCUUUGAGAGUGCAGGGGAAUGCCCGACACAACAGUCCGCUAUCGGUGGUCUGCGGUUCCAAGACACUAAGGUCGAGGUUGAUGUGAUCUUUUGGAUCACUCGAACCGUCAUAUGCUUCUAUCUUGGGUACCCGCCAGGUUGGUGGAAAAGAUUCUUUCAAAAGGUCCUUGUGAAAAGGAGCGCUUUUGAUUCUCAAGAACUCGAUCGGACUGUUGGCGACCGGAUUGUCGGCCAGCUUCCGACGAAGAUCUUCCACGAACUUUGUUGUAAGAGUCUUGUGAGUGCGACUCUUGCUAGGUCCAGCCUUUGCCUUAGGAGGUGCUGGAGAUUUCCUCUUUUUCUCUGUAGAUGGAGGAUAGUAAGACCCAGAUUCACCCGCUCCUUCGCGGAUGAUGGUCUUGUUGCCCCUUGCUUUCUCGAGAUUGCUAACUCUUUUUUCUAUGGAAUCCAUACAGUUAAUCAACCUCUCUUGUAGCGCAAGAGUUAGGUUCACUCCCCCAUUUGAUGGGAGUGAUGAGGGCACCUCAUGUGUCGAAAGUGGUAUAUUGGAGGUUGGUAUAGUACGGGAACCAACCCUCCUACCAGAAGCUCCUACCUCAGCAGCAAUGGCGAGAGCUUUCUUUUUAUGAUCCUUAGUAAAAGGAGCCAUAAAUGGGAUGGUUGCUUCUAUCGGGUCGAAGCAACAGACUACGAGUGGAAGUUCUUCCGAAGUGUCGAAAGCUAUGGGUAGGUACCUGCCCCCCCGGGUGUCACAAAACAGAAAAAAUUUCGUAUAAUAUUUCUUUGUAGUUUUGUAACCCCCUUGAGCAGUACUACUAGUCCCCAAAGUUUGAAAUUAGCAAAAAAUAUCGAAUUUUUUUGCAAUUUUUUUGCAGAAAAUCGUGCUGCCGGAGGUGGUUUUCGGGAUGCCUGUUUAGACCUAUCCCAGAAAAGAUUCCUUGCACUGUUGGGAAAUUCUGCCUUUCUGUACUCGUAGAGAAAACUUUUUUCACGUGAAGUGUGGUCGUAGAAUCCCAAAAUGAGAUCUGGGUAUUCCGGAGGUGGACCGACAAAAUCACUGGUAGUGAAAAAAGGUAAAAAGCAACAUACUUUUUUUUUUUUUACCGAAACGACGAUGCGAGUCCCGCCGAAGCGAUGGAUUUUCAUUUCGGUAAAAGAGCUGGGCUAUGCGUGGUCUUAUUCAGCCGAAGCGAUGAAUGAAGACGAUGACCGAAUGACCGAAUCGGCAAUUCAACUGUGGGAAUUGCCUACUCGGUGUGGGAGUCGGCGAUUCAAUUGUGAGAAUCGCCUACUCAGUGUGGUCUUAUUCAGCCGAAGCGAUGAAUGAAGACGAUAACUGAAUCGACAAUUCAACUGUGGGAAUCGCCUACUCAGUGUGGGAGUCGGCGACUCAAUUGUGGGAAUCGCCUACUCAGUGUGGAAUCGUUGAUUCAAGUGGGAAUCGACGAUUCAGAUGGGGAUAGGUGAUUUUCUAUGAAAAAUCCAACCUAUAUGGAAGUGAAAGUGCCAGAGCAAAAGGCAUUGACAGCACUUGCUCAAAAAGCUAAAGGAAUCGGCGACUCCUAUGUGGAGUCGGCGAUUCAACUUAUGGCCUUUUUGAACCAAGCCGUGGACAGCACUCUUAGCUAGCAGAAUAACCCGUAAUCGGCGACUCACUAGGUGGAGUCGGCGAUUGCCUGUGUGUAUCGGAGAUUCCUUAACACAAAGUCAGCGACUCACCCUAAGGGAAUCGAGCUGAACUUUGCGAAGAAAAUUUCGCGAUUACGACGGGAUAUCGUGGUUCGAUAUUCCCACAGACGGCGCCAGCUGAUGAAGCACGAAAUCUGCUGCUACCAGUAGGCUCGCGGGGUUGCGAGGAGGGCCGGAGGCUUUGGAGUCCACGACGCGCGCUCUACGUCAAUGUACCUGCAGAAGUGGAGGGGAAUCGGCGACUCCCUUGGGAGUAGGCGAUUCGGGCUCCUUGGAUUUCUCUGGUGUGGUGUGGUCAAGUGUGAAUGACUUGGGAGUAGAGGACCCCCAAGGACCCCUUUUAUAGGGUCUUGGGGGACGUUUCCCCAUUCAUUAGCGUGGGACCCACCCCAUUAUGGUGCCCUAUUGAAGGGUGCCAUAAUGAUGUGAGCCCUCCCAAGUAACGGAUGGGAAUCGGCGACUCAGGUAUGGGAGUCGCCGAUUCAGAGGUGGAGUCGCCGACUCCCCAUGAGCCAAGUUGGCAGUCUACCAGAACUGACCACGAGGCCUAGAGUCGGCGAUUCACCCCUGGAGUCGGCGACUUGGUAGUCCCAGUCGGCGAUUCUCAGGUGUUUCCUUGAGUACUUGACGUAGACACUUCCUCCGCAUUUGUGGAACUCUCCGGGGGUCCGGCAUAAAGCGACGGAACCCUAGUCCUUGUCGAAGGGCGUUGCUGGGAGUGACUGACGUGAUCAGGCAUGUCUCACCAAAAAUCAUUUCUAAAUUUAUCAAUUCUUUAAAUUAUCAUUCAUUUCAUGGCAUUUCUUGUUAUUCAUUUCUAAAUUUUUGCAUUCAUUUUAAAAUUACACAAUUUAAAAACAUACAUUUCAUUUUUCAAUUAUUUAACAUGCAAAUUAUAUUAACUAAUUAAUAACUAACAUAAUAAAUAAAUAAUUUCAAAUGAAUAAAAAAUAUUACAUUGAUCUGUGGUAAGACAUGCCUGAUUACGUCAGUUAUUCCCAGCAACGCCCAUCAACAAGGACUAGGGUUCCGUCGCUUUACGCCGGACCCCAGAAGGCAUCCACGGUGUCGAGAAAGUGUCUACGUCAAGUACUCAAGGCAACACCUGAGGUGAAUCGCCGACUGGGACUACCAAGGAGCCCGAAUCCCCGACUCCCACGUGAGUCGCCGAUUCCCCUCCACUUCUGCAGGUAUUUGACGUAGAGCGCGCGUCGUGGACUCCAAAGCCUACGACCCUCCUCGCAACCCCGCGAGCCCACUGGUAGCAGAUUUCGUGCUUCAUCAAUCCGCAAAUUGAAAAUCGACCGCAAAUGCUAAUUUCAACGAUCUGCAAAAACCUACAACAAAAUAUCAACACAUAUAACACAAAAUAUAUCAAUAACACAUAUAACACAUACAAUAUAAAUAAAACAUAUAACACAUACAAGAUACCACAUACAUAUAACACACAAUAUAAAUAAAACAUAUAACACAUACAUGAUACCACACACAUAUAACACAUACAAGAUACAACACACAAAUAACACAUAACACAUAUAACACUUAAAUUUAUAAAUUAUACAAACCUUCAUCCGGGAGAUGUCCGACGGAAAAACAGUUCGGCGGAGAGAUCGAUGACCGGCGGCGAAGACAAUUCAACCUAAAAAAUAAUAAUUUCAAUUAUAUAAUUAAAACCCCUAUUUAAUUAAUUUAAUUACAAAAAUCAAAACAGUAAAUCAUAUAGUGAAUCAUACAUAAUAUACUAAUCAUUUCAUUAAUCACAAUUCUUUAAAAACAUAAUCAUUUCAUUAAUAGCAGUAAAUCACAAUUAUUUCAUUAAUCAUAAUAUAUUUAAAAACAGUAAAUCACAAUUACUAAAUUAAUAUAAUUUUUAAAAUCAAAACAGUAAAUCAUUAUAUAACUAAUCAUUUCAAAACUUAACUAAUCAUAAUAACAAAACAGUAAAUCAUAAUUAAACUUAACAAAAAUCAAAACCGCAAAAACAAAACCCCAAAAUCAAAUCAAUAAAUCAACCUAACAUCUAACCCUAAAAUCAAACCCCAAAAUACAUAUAUAAACUCCCAAAUACUAAAUACAAAAGCCCCCAAAUACAUUAACCCCCAAAUAUGUAAACCCCUAAUUAAAUCAUACAACCAUAAACCCCUAAUUAAAUCAAACACCCAUACAUCAAAUGAAGAACGGAAUAAAAAGAUAAAGAAAAAAAAAGAAAAUGUAAAAGAAGAAGAAAAGAUGUGAUAAAAAAUAAGAGGAUAAGAAGAAGAUGGAGAAGAAGAAGAUGGAGAAGAAGGGGAGAAAAUAACCUUGGAUAUGCUCAAAUCGCCGGAGGGCAGUUGGGGAGGAGUGGGGAGAAGUUGAGAGAAGUUGGGAGAAAUGGAAAGAAUCUCGAAUUUUUUCCAUAUAUUUUGCCAGACCGCCAACUAUUUUUCUCCCGACCGUUAAGGGUUUUAGGAUGCUGGUGGCAAGACUUCCAGCUCAUUUCUUCCCGACCGUUAGGGAAAUUGGUGCUGGUGGCCAGGCCACUAGUAACUUUAAAAAAAAAGGCACCGGUGGCCUGGCCGCCAGCUCAUUUCUCUCAUUUACGAGGGAAAAUUAUGCCGGCAGACUAGUGUAGCCUACCGGCGGCCAGGCCGCCGGGAGGUUGCCGCCAGAACUAAGCUGAUUUUUUGUAGUGCGGUAUGACGUUUCUCAGUAGACUACCUCGAGAAACUACAUAUUAAGUAUAACGUGCAUGCCUGUUAUGCUACUGGAGUACUCUAUCGAGGACAUCUUCUUAUUCCGAGGAAACUUAUUUUAUUUUAAUAACUCUGGUUUAAUUAUCUCACCUCAUUUAUGUGUGCAUUAAUAUAUUUCUCCGAUAGGCACCCUGAUUGUUCCGUCGUAACGGGUCAUAUAAUUGUAAUAAUAUCGUAUAUCCUAUGACCCGUCUUCAUUUUUGGCUAACAAGUGAUUCUUGCUCGCAAUCGGAUCACUUGAAGAAGUGCCGAGAAGAGAAAGGAUAGAUUUCUUCCACCGCUUCCUCCUGUUAGAUCUUCCUCUUAUGCAAGAGGUUGCUUUUCAUAGGUUCAUAAAGGCAUGUGAAUUUUCUCGACAAAGUAGUCGACCUAGCUAAUGCAGAUACUACGUCAUAGAGAUACUCUCAUUUUACCUGUCCUUCUAAUGAUCUUCAAUAUCCUCAGUUUCCUAGAAAUUUGGGGAAAUUUGUUGAAAAGAACUAAGAGCUUGCAACAAGUACCUAGAUCUCAUAGUAGUUUUACUCGUGUUUAACAUGGUACUUAUAUGCUAGUUUACUCGUGUUUAACAUGGUGCUUAUAAAUUAUAAUGUGUUUUUGUUACUUCUAACUAUAUUUAUUUUUUGCUUAUAGCUGUCAUACCUUCACGAUCAUCUCGGUAAUCUCGAACAUGCCAAAAAUCUCUAACUUAUAAAACGCAAAGGAUCUUUAAUUUUAUUUUUGUAAACACAACUUUAUAAUGAGAAAUCAAAUUCCCUUCAGAGAAGAAAAAGAAAGAUUAUGAUGAAUUCCUAGAUAUUGUACAAGUGAUAUAUUGAAGAAUUCCUUAACUUUUUCCAAACUUGUCAGAGAAUAUGAUAAAACUAAGGAAGAGUGAGAUGCAAUCUAGAAGAUGUCGAUAUCCAGAAUCGUACUCUCACCUCCUCAGUCAUCUAGCUCAAGCUCAGUGUUGACACCCUGGAUAAUAUUUGCAAAAAGCUAACUUCAUAGUUUGAAACUACUACUAGCUAGAUAUCGUCUUAGCUCGACGAUAUUGUUCAUUUUAGAAAUAUUGUCUUUUUAGGUUUUCGAACAAAUGACAUAGUUGACCGGAUUGGUGCUAAUCUGGAAUGGGUAGUAGAGGUGUGUGCAUAGUAUUUUGUCUACAUGUGCAGAAUGUAUCAGGUCAGGCGGAACCCUAGGAUGGUAAUGGAGCAGAAAUCCAAAAUGUCUAUAGAGGAUCGAGGUCGAAAAGAGAGGUGGACAUGAGAUCUCUCUUCAAAAAUGGAUUAAGCACGGGGAGCUUCUCCGACGAGCUUGGCCUGAAGGUUAAGAAACACCUUUUGAAGAAGUGGUUUUGUCAUGAUGUCCACCCAUUGUUCCUUCCCAGCAAGAAUGUGUCUGGCCAUGAUAUCUCCAUUCUCUGUAUUUCUCACGUAUGAAGUGAAGAUCUAGUGCUACAUGUUUUAGCUUGGAGUGCGCAAUUGGGUUCUUUGUUAUAAACGUUGCUCCUAAGUUUUCAGAUAGAAUUUGCACUGGCCUUGGUACUUCAACAUGUAACUCAUUUAACAUUGAUCGAACAACUUCUAUUUCUUGUGUAGUUAUCGCAAUGGCUCUGUACUUCGCUUCAGUGCUGGACCUCGCUAGCGUGUUUUGUUUGCGUGAGAUCCAAGAGACUAGAUUACCUCCAAUGUAGACUAGAAAUCUAGCUUGUCCAACUUUUUUAAUCAAUCGUAUCCCCACCCAAGUCUGCAUCACGAUAGGCCGAAGUCUCUUGCCUUUCGGAUCACAACACCACUUUUUUGGGUACCUGAGAGAAAUCUCAGUACGUGUUUGACCAUAGCCUAGUAGGUCGGUUUCAGUGUGGCCAUGAACUGAGAUAAAAUAUUUACUUCUACCUAGACGUCUGUCCUGGUGAGAGUUAUAUAUUGUAAGGAACCGAGUAUACGCCAGAAUUCUUUAGGAUUAUCAAUCUGAUUUUCCUCCGAUCCCAGGUCGAAAUUUACGAUCAUUGGUGUUAUCGCAUGCAUCAUACUGUCCAUAUCGCAGCUCUUGAGGAGAUUAACCAAUUAUUGUAUUUAGGAGAGAUGAAUACCAUCUUGACAUUGAGAUACUUGAAUACCCAAGAAGAAUGUUAGAUCUCCCAAAUCUCUGAUGGGAAAUUCAUUCCCCAAUUUCUCAAUUAUUUCUUCUACCAUUGACUCUUGUGAUCGGGCUACCACAAUGUCAUUAAUAUAGACGAAUAGAUAGACGAGAUACUCAUUUUGUUGGUAGAUAAACAGCGAGGGAUCUAUGGUUGAUUCAUUGAAAUUUAUAGAAAUCAAGAACUUGUUUAGCCUUCAGAAUCAACAUCUCGGAGAUUGCUUCAAUUCGUACAAGGAAUAUUUGUGAAGCAGACAAACGUGUUCUGGUACUCGUGAGUCAGUGAACCCAAUUGGUUGUGAAGUUACUAUUCUUUCCUCUAAUAUUCCGUGAAGAAACGCAUUCGAUAUGUCUAUCUGAUGCAUCAUCUAACCCCGCGUUUCUGCCAAUAGUAAAACCAAACGAAUUGAGAGAGCUCGUAUAUACUAUCGGACUGAAGGUGUCCCCAAGUAGUCUGUUCCAUAGAUUUGCCCUGUUGAUGACGUACGUUAUCCCCUGUUUGCUUUGGAACGAGACUCCAAGUUUUAUUAUCUUGAAGUGCCUUGAACUCGAUUGUCAUAGCCCCCUUCCACUUGGGUAUAGAAAGCGUAUGCUUAGCUGAUAUCGGGAUUGAGACGUCAGUAUCUGCCAUUGCGAGCAUAUAUCUUGGAUUAAUUUUAAUAAUUCCAACUAACUCUCUUGUUACUAUUGAGUAUGGGUGAGUGACUUGAGAGGGCUGUAUAGAAGGUUCUUCUUCAUUAAACUCGUCUUCUUCACUUAAUUCUUGUUCAUCGUAGAUGUAUUGUUCUGAAACUGAGCCAAGAACCACCGCCGGUGAAUCUUUUUCAAUUUUGCUAUGAUCAAGAUUCACAUCUGUUGAAAUUGAGUUUGAGACUUGAUUUUCUUGUUGGAUCGAAUUAUCGUUAUUUGGGUCCCCCAAAUUAUGUUCUUGAACUUCCCCGAUUCCCAAAUCAUUUUCAAUAUUUGGAUCAUUCACCCGACACCCAAACUGAUUAGUUUUUACAAUUUUCUCUUGACUUUGAAAGAUAGUUUUAUUCAUGGAAAAGUCCUCUUCGUUGAACGCCACGUCUUUUGAAGUAAAAAUUCUCCGACCGACCGGUUCUAUGCAAAGAUAACACUCCUGAGACAAUAAAUAUCCAAUAAAUAUUCAUUUCGUGGAUUUUGCUUCCAUUUAGUUCUUGCGAUAUGCUCGAAGACAAGUCUUGAACUUAUGGAAUCCGUCACCUUCCAUUGCUAAGAUGUUGAUCGAAGAAUUAAGAAGAUAGAGAUUUUCGAAGAAGAGAGUGGAGAGUUGGGUCGAUCCUUGGUGUGUUAGACUACCAAGGUGUUUGUAUAUAUUAACAAUCAAAAUACAAACACACCUAAAAGUUAAGAUAAAUUACAACUUUACCUAUAACUAAUAUAGGUAACAAACACCUUUAACAUCAUAAAUAAAUAUUCCCCCUCAAGCUGAUGCUUUUGUCAAGAUGAUGAACACACCUAUAACAAUAACCCUAAAGUGGAAGCUUGCUUCGAAGAAUCUGAAAUUUAUCCAAUGGGAGAAGUUUUGUAAACGAAUCUGCAAUUUGAUAUUUCAAAGAAACAUAUUUGACUUGGAGGUGAUUUCGACGUACCAUUUCCCAGACGAAAUGAAAAUCGAACUCCAUAUGUUUCGUACGUGCAUGAAAUACCAGAUUUACGGUGAGAUAUGUGGCACCGAUGUUGUCACACCAUAACAUUGUUGGUCCGACUUGAGUUAUUCCAAUUUCAAACAUUAUUGAUCUUAACUAUAUAAUUUCUGCCGCCGUAUUUACAAGAGCCCGAUACUCCGCUUCUGUUAAUGAUCGAGCCACGGUUUUCGGCUUCCGGGCUGACCACGAUAUCAGAUUGUGACCCAAGAAGAUUGCAUAUGCCCCGGUGCUACGACAAUCGUCCAGGAAGCCUGCCCAAUCAGCAUCUGUAUAUGCAUGGAGUUGCAUUGUCAGAGAUUUUAUAAACUUUAGUCCAUAGUCCAAAGUUCCACAUAAAUAACGGAGUACCCUUUUUGUAACUUGCCAAUGUACAUCCGUUGGAGCAUGCAAGAAUUGACACAAUUUGUUUACUGAAAAAGCCAAGUCCAGACGAGUGAGUAACACGUAUUGUAAAGCAUCGAUAGUGUGGAUCGAUACUGUAGCGGAUUGUCGAACUUCUCACCUGAAUCUAAAGUUAAGAUGCUUGACGGGACCAUCGGAGUCGGAAGCGAUUUUGCACUUAACAUAUUGGUUUUCUUCAAAAGUUUCAAUAUAUAUUGUCUUUGAGUGAGUACCAUAAGAUCAUUAUUUCUGAUAACCUCAAUACUCAAGAAGAACUUGAAGUCUCCAAGCUCUUUAAUUGCAAAUCUUGACACUACAUAUCUGAUAACCUUGCCAAUCAUGAGAGAUGAAGACCCGGUGAUUACGAUAUCAUUGACAUAUACAAGAAGGUAUAUGACAAUCUUAUCUUGCCGGAGAAAAAAUAAUGACGUGUCAGUUUUUGACAGUAGAAAAGCGCCGAAGCUCAUGAGACACUGUCUCAAUUUUUCGUACCAUAUCCUUAUUAUUUAUCAUAUUUCCCGAAGCCGUGCGUGUAUCUGGACUCGCCGUAGCGGAAGUCUCCUCGCCGGACGGGAAGGAAGUAGAAAGGGGGAAGAAGAAGUUGAACACAGUUAAUACUAAAAACUGUUUAGUGGAAAUAUUAUCCUUUUCAUUGAUUUAAAAUUGAUUACAAUGGUUUGUUUAUAUAAUCAAUUAUUUACAUUUAACUAACUAACAAUUUAAAACAGAAUUGGCCCAUUCCUUUCUUUAGCCCAGUCGAAUUGGCCCAUUUCCAUUUAUUGAAACUUUUGCAGUUUUCACCUCCGUCUUUGUUAUAAUGUUUUAUCAGUCGUGAUGAAAUUACCUGCACAUGAAAACUUAAUAGGAAAUUGGUAUAAUAGAAUAUUAGAUAUAUUUAUUUCAACUAAGUCCUCUAUUCAGUUUGAUUUAUAUUUCCCUGUUUGAAUUAUUAAGCCCUGUUUUAAUGGCUUAAUUAAUUAGCUGAUUGUUUGAUAAUUAUUCUUUUACUCCCCCCUCAAGCCUUGGAUUAUAUGUUAAGUAUUCCAAGCUUGGAAUGGGUAGUAGUGAUCUCUUUAUCACCAAGGGCUUUGGUUAAAAAAUCAACCAAUUGAAAUCUAGUUCCUACUUGUUUUAUCAAUACCUUCCCUUGAUUUAUCAUUUCUCUUAUGAAAUGACAGUCAAUUUCUAUGUGUUUAGUUCUUUCAUGAAAAACUGGGUUAUUUGCCAAGUAUAUGGCAGAUUUAUUAUCACAAAAGAGUGUGGUUGGCUUCCUUAUUUUAAUUUUCAGUUCAUCCAUUAAUUGAUGAAGUCAUACUACCUCACAUGUGGUCUGAGCAAUUGCUCUAUAUUCAGCUUCACAAGAUGACCUUGCUACUGUUACUUGCUUUUUAGUUUUCCAUGAUAUUAGAGAAUCUCCCAACAUUAUACAAAAUCCUGUUAAGGAUUUCCUACUGAUUUGGCAUGAUGCCCAAUAUCCUUUAAUGUCUAAAUUCUCAGUUUUAUUAUAUAUUAAACCUUUGCCAGGUACAUUUUUGAUGUAUCUAAUUAGUUUGAAUAGAACUUGGAGAUGUAUCUCUCUUGGUUCAUGCAUGAAUUGGCUUAGCCAAUUCACUGAGAAGCUAAUAUCUGGCCUUGUAAUGUUUAAGUAUGUUAGUUUCCCUACUAUUUUCCUAUAGAAUGUUGGGUUUUGUAUUUUGGAUGAUUUAUCAUCUUUAAGGUUUAUGUGUCUCUCCAUGGGUAUUUUGGAGGGUUUUGCUUCAGAGAGCCCACAAUCCUCUAGUAUUCCUAGAGCAUAUUUUCUUUGUGAGAGAUAUACUCCUUGGUUAGAGUAUGAAACCUCAAUGCCUAGGAAAUAGUUGAGCCUUCCUAGAUCUUUUAGUUUAAAUUGGUUUUCUAGUUAGAUUUUAAUUAUGCCAAUUUCUAACUCAUUGCUUCCUAUUAUAAUUAUGUCAUCCACAUAUACCAAAAGGUAUAAAAUGUUUUGGUUCUUUUCUCAUAUAAACAAUGAAUAGUCUGAUUUGGCUUGAAUGAAACCAAUAUCCAACAAAACACCCCUUAAUUAUUCAAACCAGUUCCUUGAGGCUUGCUUUAGACCAUGCAAGGACUUGUUUAGUUUACACAUCCUUUUAUCUCCUUCUUUUAGGUAACCUUGAGGUGGUCUUAGAUAUAUUUCUUCAUGAAGUUCACCAUGAAGGAAAGCAUUAUUAACAUCUAGUUGGUAUAACUUCCAAUUUUUCAUAGCUGCCACAGCUAUGAUUGUUUUGAUUGUCACCAUUUUAACUACUGGUGUAAAAGUUUCAAAAAAAUCGAAACCUUCUUUUUGAGUAAAGCCUUUGGCUACUAACCUUGCUUUGUAUCUUUCUAUUUCACCAUUUGGCUUAUAUUUUAUCUUAUAAAUCCAUUUAGACCCUAUGGAUUUUCUAUCUUUUGGAAUUUCAGCUAGUGUCCAUGUAUUGUUGUCAAUAAGAGAUUUCAUCUCUCUUUGCACUGCUUCAACCCAAUUUGGAUCUUUUGAAGCCUUACUAAAUGAGUUGGGUUCAUCAUGUAUGGUUAUUUGUUUUAAAAAAUGUUUUUGUUGUUUGCUUAUUCUAUGAUAAGAAACAUGGUUACUCAUGGGAUGUUUUGACCCAUGAUAAUAGUCUUUUUCAUUCUCAAGAUAAUAAUCUUGGAAUUGUUUUGGUUUGGAUAUUUUCCUACCAUAUAGACUAGUUUUCUCAUUUAUUUCAUUUUGGGAUGUCUCUCUGUUAAUUGAUUCUAAAUCCCUGUCCAGAGUAUUUUCCUUUGAAUUAUUCUCUGGUUGAUUGUUAUUUAAAAUGUUUUCUUCUGUUGAUUCAGAAGAUUUUUCUUUUGAAUUGUUCUUUGAGUAAACAUCAUUGCUGUUUAGAGUGUUUUUAUUUAAGAAAAAAGCUUUUGGGCUGUUUUCUGCAUUUUCAAAACUUAUAUCCAUAUCCUCACCAGAAAUUUCUUUUGAAUUGCUCUUUGAUUGAUUUAGGUUAUCAACCAAGUAAUUUUUAUUUUCUGAAUUGUUAUUCAGAUUAUUAUUACUUUGGAUCUCAAAGUAUUGGGUUUUCAAACAAUUGUCUGUCUGUUCUAAAUUAUUAGCAUUCAGACUAUCACCUUGUUCCUGAGAACUAUUUUUAUAAUUAUUUCCAGCCUGAUUUGAACUCAUAACUAUAUGAUUUAUACUUUCUGAAAUAUUUUUAUUAAUAUUCAGAAUGCUAUUACCUUGUCUCUCAUACAAGGUUUCUUUUGAACUGCUAUCUGGCUGCCCUGAGACAGUGUCCAGAGCACCAUAUUUAUUUUCCUGAUUAUAGUUUAGAUUCUGAAUUUUUUCAGUGUCUAAACUUUGUUAUGUUUGAGUUGUUUCUAUAUUUUGAUUUAGAUUCUGAGUGCUAGACUUACUUGCUCUAGAAUCUCCUAAUGAAUUCCCUCUCAACAUCCUUUCUUCAUAUUUUUCAGAAACUUCUGAAUUUGUAUGUUUUUGUUUUGAGUUUUCAUCUUUAGAUGACUUAUUUUUCCUUUUAUUCAUGUAUUCUGAAUUUUGCUCAUGGUCUGAACAUACAAUGGUUCUUCCUUUGUUUUGAACAGGUAUAAAUGAUCUUUUAAUAUUAGAGCUUGGCAUCUGAAUUUUUUCAGAUUUUUUGGACUCUAAUUUCUUUAUCUUGGAUAGAGCUAUCACUACAAGAAAUAAGACCUUGUAGGACGGUCUUUAGAUGGCGGAUUUCCGUCAUCUAAAUGUUUUUAAUUAAAACAUUUAUAAACAGUAAAUUAAAUAAUUCAUAAAUUUAUUAAAAAACAGUAAUUAAGAACAAUAUUAAAUAUUUUUAAUUUAUUUCAAAAUAUGGUAUUUAAAUUAUGAUAUAACUAAAUAAUUAAUUAUUUAAAUAAAAUAAUUAAUUUUAUUAAUUUUCUAGAUUAUUUAUUUAUUUUAAAAAAUUAAUAAUUAUUUAACUAAAUUAAAACAGUAAAUAAAUUAAUUAGGUUAAUUAAUUUUUCAAUUAUUUAAAAACAGUACAUUCUUUAUUUUUUUUUUAAAAUUAUUAAUUAUUUAAUUACAAACAGUAAAAAAAAUAAUUAUUUUAAUUAGUUUCUAAAUUAUUUAAAAACAGUUAAUUAAUUAAUUAUUUAUUAAAAAUUUAAUUAUUUAAUUAAAAACAGUAAAUAAAAUAUUUAAUUUCAUUAUUUUCUACAUUAUCUAAAAUCAGUAAUUAUUUAAUUAAAUUACAAACACUAAUUAUUUAUUUAAAUUAAUCAUAAAUUAUGUCAAAUUAAUUAUAUAAAAUUAAACAAUACAACAAACAACACACAUAAACUAUUUCAUAAAAAAGAUUUUUAAAAUCUCACCAAAAUGGACAAGCGAGGCGACGUAAUCAAGGCAGGACGGAGGCGGUGGCUACCGGAGGCGACCUCGGAACCGGCGUCGACGAAGCAACGAUGCGAGGCAGUCGGCGGAAACGGCUAUUAUUGAAAUUAAAUCAUUGAAAUUAAAACAAAAUCUUCACAUUUCAUAAUUCUUAUGAAAUCAUUGAAAUUCUUAACAUAUCAAAAACCCAACACGAUAAAUUAUUAUUCAUACAUUGAAAUCAAAACUAAAAUAGUAGACACAUGCAUCUUCAUCAUAAACUAUAACAAAACCACCUUAAAUCAAAACAUAAAACCAUUCAAAUAAACAUAAAUCCAUGAUCAUAAACUAUAACACAUCGAAAUCAAUAGAUACACAAAUCAGUAUAUCAAAAACCCAAGUCAAUCAAAAACCCAUUUUAAAAACCCAUCACUUAUAAACACAAUAACUUACCGUAAAAGAUAUCAAACAAACAAAAUCAACAAACAAUAACUUACUGUAAAAGAUAUCAAACUAACAAUCAACACAAUAACUAAAAAAAACAUAAAUCAAACCCAUAAAUCCAUUUCAAAAACCCAACACUUAUCAAAAACAAUCAACACGAUAACUAAUUAAACAUAAAAGAAAAAUUAAACAAUAACAUGCAUGAAUUAAACACAAAACAAACAUUUUAUUCCAUACAUUCAUUCAAGCACUAUGGAUAGAUACAUACAUUCAUUCAAACAUCUAAACAGAAAAUACAUAAACAGUAGAUAGAUAAAUAUUGAAUCUAAACAAUAUGGAUAAACAUUAAAAUAGAUAAAUAUAAAAAAAAUAGAUAAAGAUAGAUAGAUAGAAUAACAUUAAACAAACGAUGAAGAGAUGAAAAAUUAAGGAUGAAAAAAUUAUGAAAAACGAAAAACGUUAAAAAUAUUAAAAACUACCUUCAAAGUUGAGGAAUCGGAGUGGAGAUCGGCUACCGGCGAGGACACAGCGACUGAGAGUGGAGACCGGCGAGGAUAUGGCGGCGUGACCGGCGAGCGCUGACAGCGACGACGAGCGGCGGGGAGACAGGCAGAGCAGCGAUUUCCGGCGGUGAGGGUUUUACACUUAGACAGACGGGAAAUGUCUGUCUGGAUUUGGGGUUUUUUAUAAACCCCAAAACUUAAGUGCACAAAAGUGCCGCCAGCACUAAAGUGAAAGUUCGCCCAAUCGAAAUUUGGGCGGGCUUUUUCCGCCCGAGUCCCUGAAUACUUAACAUGGCAGAUGUCCGCCAUGUUAAGUCAAUUUAAUCGGGUAAUCGGGCUAAAUAUUGGGGGGAAAUCGAAAUUUUGGGUGGGAUAGUUUAGAUGGCGGAUUUCCGCCAUCUAAACACCGCCAUCGAAAAAUAAUUUAAACCGCCGUCGAGCCAAAACCUUUCCUCGACGGAUUCAAAGAAUAGAUGGUGGACAUCCGCCAUCUAAACAACUGGAUUAUUGAUGGCGGAAAUCCGCCAUCUAAAGGCCGCCAUACAAGGUCCUUUUUUUUGUAAUGUAUUUUCAGACCUUGAUGAGGUUUUUUCUUUAUUUUUACAUUCAUAGUGUUGAUAUAUAAGUUUAUUAUAUAAAUCUUCACAUGACCUCAUGUUUUGAGUUUUGGAAUGUUUGUUUUCAUAAAAUUCAUUUUUAAAAGGGAAAACGCUUUCUCUAAAGACUACAUUUCUAGAGAUAUGGAAUUUUUUGGUUUCCAUAUCCAAUAUUAGAUAUCCUUUUGUAUUUGAAGGAUAUCCCAAGAAUUUUCCUCUGAAGGUUCUUGGAAAAAUUUGUGUUCUCUAAUGUUGGUUGUUGCAUAGCAUAAACAACCAAAAAAAUUUAGAUCUUGAUAUUUUGGUGCUUGAUUAUUAAGCACUUCAUAUGGAGUUUUAUUUUGUAAUACUUUAGAUGGUGUCCUAUUUAUUAUGUGAGUUGCAGUUAACACACAUUCUCCCCAAUAGAUCAAAGAAACUCCACCUUUAAAAUGUAAAGAUCUAGCUACUUCCAAUAAAUGUCUAUGCUUUCUUUCUACUAUGGCAUUUUGUUGGGGAGUAUAUGGACACGUUAGUUGGUGUGUUAUUCCAUUUGCUUCUAGCGUAGUUUUAAAAGAAUGUGAGAUAAAUUCACCUCCAUUGUCACUCCUUAUUGUUUUUGCAUUUUUAUUAAAUUGAUUUUUAACUUUUAUAAGAUAAUUCUUUAUGCAUUCUUGUGCCAUAUUCUUUGUUUUUAACAAAAAAACCCAAGUAGUUCUACUUAGACCUUCUACAAUGGUUAAAAAGUAAUUAAAACCAUCAUGGGUUGUAAUUGGGAAUCUACCCCAAAUAUCUAUAUGAAUAAGGUCAAAAAUAUCUUUUGAUUUUGAAAUGUUAUUUUUGUAUUUUAGUUUAGUUUGCUUUGCAAUUGGGCAUACAUCACAUCUAUCUUUAAUUUGAGACAGACUUUUACUUAAUUUUGAAAUACAAUCUUUAUUCAAAAAAUCAUUGUUAUUUUCAACAUCAAUUGUUUUACAAUUAUUAUCUAAAAUACUUGAAAACAUAUUUCCUUUAACACUAAUAUUUUGAGCUUUGAUAAGCAUCUUUAUCUUUUCUGGUGAAAUGUGCCCUAGCCUCUUGUGCCAAGUAUCAACUUCUAUGACUGAAUUUGCAGAAUCAGGGGAUUGUGGCUUUAGAAAGUAAAUGCCAUUUUGACACUCACCCUGCCCAAUCACUUUUCCUGACCUGUUUUCCUGAAAAUUACAUCCAUUUUUGGAAAAAAAUUACAUUUAAAUUUGAGUCAUUUGUUAACCUAUUUACUGAAAUUAAAUUCACCUUAAAUUGUGGAAUAUAAAGCACAUUUUUAAGGAUUAUAUUUUCAGAUAUUGUUAUGUUUCCAGUGGAGAUUACUUUGCAUAUUUCUCCACUGGGAAUGGUCACAUAAUGCUCAAAUUCCCUUUUGGGUAUCAUCAAAACAAUGGAUGCUCCCAGUCAUGUGUUGGGAUGCACCGGUGUCAAUAAUCCAUGCAUUUUUAUAUUCUAAAGUAUUGAAGGAAUAAAACAUACCAGAGGAUUUGCUUAACAAAUCUUUGAGUAGUAGUAACUCCUCACUGCUUAGAUUUGGCACAUUGGCUGAAGUGUUAGCUUGAUUUGCAGAGUCUUUAACUUUGCUGUUUUGAUUUGAUUGGAAAUUCUCUUUCAUGUUUCUCUUUGGGAAGCCAACAAUAUGAAAACAUUCUUCCCUUGUAUGACCAAAAUAUUUGCAAUUACCACAGUAAAAUUUAGUAUCUAGUUUCUUUCCAUUUCUACUAUAUACUCCUCUUUUCUUUGAUUCUUCUUUCUUUUCUUCCUUAUCAUAUUUCUUUGCAAAAAAGGUUGUUGAGUUGCCUCCUAAUUUUUUUCUAAAAUUUGCUUUUUGCCUCUUCUUGUAUAACUAGAGAAAAUACUUGAUUCAUUGAAGGCAAUUCAGAGUAUGCCAAAAUUUGACUUCUUAAAGUCAUAAAAUCUUCAUUUAGACCUAAAAGGAAUUGAUGGGUCCUAUCCUUUUCUAUUUUCUUUGUGUAGAUGGGGCACACAUUGUGCAAAAUCUACACUCAGGUUUCUCAAUCUUUAUAUAUUAAUCCCAUAGAGAUUUAAACUUAUCAAAGUAUAUGGAGAUACUAUCAUUUGAUUGACUUAAGGUGUUAAUUUCAUACCUUAAUUGGCUUGUCUUAGGAGCGUUUUUCUGCUUGUACCUCUCUUGGAGUUCAAUACAUGCUUCAUAGGCCGUGUCUAUGUGAAUCAAUGUUGAGGCUAUCUGUGGGCUGACUCCAUUGAUUAUCCACGACAAAACCAGACCAUUCACCAUCUCCCAGUCUUCAAAAUCCUCCCCUGUUUCAUUCAAUGGUCUUUUAAUUUUUCCAUUAAUAAAUGUUGUUUUCUUUCUUAAAACAAGAGACAGCUUCAUUGAGUUAGCCCAGGCAACGUAGUUUGCCUCGCCUGUGAGUUUAUCAGAAACCAUUUUUGCACCAGGGUGAUCUCCGACAGAUAAAAAGUAUGGAGAUUUUCUUGAAAACUUGGACUUUUCUGUGUGUUUUCUUUUGUUUACAGUACUAGACCUUUUCUUUCUUCUAGAGGAUCUAAAAAACUUACUAUCUUCACCAGAACUUGAAGAGCUUGCUAAUUGCCUUGAAUUUUUUCUUUAAGGUUGAAGAUCCCUCUGAUUCUCCUAAACUGUCAGAGCUAGCUACCAUAUUAUUUAUCAUAUUGACAUCAGCUGAUACCAUAUUAUUUAUCAUAUUUCCCGAAGCCGCGUGUGUAUCUGGACUCGCCGUAGCUGAAGUCUCCUCGCCGGACGAGAAGGAAGUAGAAAGGGGGAAGUAGAAAGGGGGGAGAAGAAGUUGAACACAGUUAAUACUAAAAACUGUUUAGUGGAAAGAUUAUCCUUUUCAUUGAUUUAAAAUUGAUUACAAUGGUUUGUUUAUAUAAUCAAUUAUUUACAUUUAACUAACUAACAAUUUAAAACAGAAUUGGCCCAUUCCUUUCUUUAGCCCAGUCGAAUUGGCUCGUUUCCCUUUAUUGUAACUUUUGUAGUUUUCACCUCCGUCUUUGUUAUAAUGUUUUAUCAGUCGUAGUGAAAUUACCUGCACAUGAAAACUUAAUAGGAAAUUGGUAUAAUAGAAUAUUAGAUAUAUUUAUUUCAACUAAGUCCUCUAUUCAGUUUGAUUUAUAUUUCCCUGUUUGAAUUAUUAAGCCCUGUUUUAAUGGCUUAAUUAAUUAGCUGAUUGUUUGAUAAUUAUUCUUUUAACCCUUUCGUACCGCAAAGAAAGCGUUGUUCACGUCGAUUUUUUUGAUCAACCAUCUAUUUAUAAUAGUAAUAGACAUGCUUAAUUUAACUGUAGUGAAUUUGACUACCAGACUGAAUGUUUCCUGAUAAUCAAUGACUUCCACCUAAUUAAAACAACGAGCAAUAAGUCUUGCUUUACGACGGCUAAAGCUACCAUCUGAAUUUUUCUUGACCUUGAAAAUCCAUUUGCAUGUAAAAAUAUUUGCGCCAUAUGGUAGAAUGACUAACCUCCGUGUCCUAUUUUUAUUUAAUGCAUGUAGCUCUUCCUCCAUAGCCACUCUCCAUUCGGGUGAUUUAAGAGCCUCUUUUACAGAUUUUGGUUCUUCCAAACUUUCUUGGGUGAGAUACAAAUUUGCAAGAGCCCGAUAGUCCACCCUCUGAACAUUUCUUAAAUUUACCGAUCGUGCACGAGGAACAGGAUGUGACGUAUCCGGUGAUGUGAUUUAUGGAACGGAUGAUCCAACCAUAUCUUGAGGUGAUGAAUUUGAGUCCUCAAGGAUAGCCGAACUUGAAAUAUUUUAGGAGGGAACUCUGGAUUUACUUCAGACGGAGGUGGUGUUGGUUGAGCUUUGAUACUGAGAGAGACGGAUCAGGUAGCCAUAUGGGAUCACUUGUGUUAUCUUGGGACGAAAUUUUUAGAUUGAGCCUGAGAUACAAUUUUAGGAAAGAAAGACUUGUCUUCAAGGAAACGACAAUGUCUUGAUAUAAAGAAUUUGUUAGACAUUUGAUCAAAACAAAUAUAUCCCAAGUGAUUACUACUAUAGCCUAAAAACGCACAAGGAGUAAAACGAAAAGCGAACUUAUUAGAAUUAUAAGCCCGAAGAUGAAGAAAACAACACACCCAAACACCCGUAAAAAAUUAUAAUAAGGAUUAUGACCAAAUAAUUUUGUGUGUGGUGGUAUUCCAUGAAUGUGAGAUAUGGUCCUAUUAAUGCUAUAGACCACAUAUGAAAAACAAAGAUCUCAAAAAUAUAAAGGAACAUUAGAAUGGUACAAGAGUGUUAAACCGUUUUGGACGAUAUGACGGAUUUUUCUUUCCGACGUACCAUUCUGUUCCGAUGUGUGAGGACAGGAAGGACGACGAUGAAUACCAGACUCUCGAAAAAUAGGAAGAAGGGAUUGAUACUCUCCUCCGAAAUCGGAUUGGAACAUCUUGAUUUUUGUUGAAAAUCUAUUUUCAACUAACUUCUGAAAUGUGACAAAAAUUUGAGAAACGCGAUUUAUUUUUAAGAGGAUAUAGCCAAAUAUAUCUAGAAAAAUCAUCAAUGAAAAUAAUAAAAUAUCGAUGAUUAGAAAAAGAUGACAUAGGUGUCGGCCCCCAAACAUCACUAUGAAUUAAUUCUAAAGGGGCCCAACAUUUUGAGUUUGUAGUUGGUAGAUGAAGUUUAGAACUUUUACCAACUAAACAAAACACAGAAUUAUUGAAAACAGAAGAAGAAGCAAUGAUAUUUGAAAAUUGAAGAGUUUUUUCUAGUCACCGACUCGCAUGGAUGACCAAGUCUUUGAUGCCAACGGUCCAGUGAAUACUUUUUCGUUAGAUUGACUUGCGGAACUGAAUUUGAGAGUUGGUAGAAAGAUCCAUCAUGUGAACCUUGAAGUAGAACCCGAUGACUAACCUGAUCCUUAAUGAAGAAAUGAUAAGGAUAAAACACCAAAUAACAUUUGUUAUAAAAAGAGAACUUAUGGACUGAAAUUAAAGAUUUCGAAAUAGAGGAUUGAGCAAAUUUUUAAGUUGAAAAGUAGAGGUUUGAGUUUGCAAUAUACCCUCCCAUAGUGUUGUAUGGGUUGCUUGGACCCAUCACCCAAACGGGCUGACCCACUCGCGAAUUGGCGAUUCAUGUUAAGAAAAUCUGCAACGUGAGGAGCAAAAUGAUGGAUGGCGCCAAAGUUCACCACCCAGUCCGGCGAGACGACUGAUGACAUCGGAGAUCCCCCGUACGAGCUCGCCUGAGCCACAUACGCCAAUGGCGACGCCGGAGGUGGAGCUUCUGAUGGGUGCGGUGAUGUUAGAUUCCGGGAUUGGGCCACCGCCGCCGCUGCUUGUAUUCUGAACGGACACUUGUAUGGUCCGUGUUCCAAACUCUCACAGAUUGGACACGGAUCACGGCGGUACCCUCCUCUCGCCGGCUUCCCAGAUGUUGUGCUCCCAUUUUGAUUUUCAGAUUAGUUUCCAUCGGAUUGGUUCCCUCGAUUUCCAGAAUUAUUUCCCCUCCAUUUUUUUCCUUUAUAGGCAGUGUACUGUGUUGUCGUCGUUGAGAAAUUCGUUGCCGCAAUAUGUCCCAACCAGAUCUCGUGAUUGAGCAAAGUGAUUCUCAUAGUUGCAAAAUAUGGGGAUUCCUCCCUUGCCGAUAAUGCCAGUACGAUCUCUAAAAAUUCACCUCCGACAUUGUUGAAAAUAGCGGCAUUGAAGGUGCCUUUGUCGAGAAUCGUUCUUGCUGCAGCUAGUUCAUCAAUAAUUAAUCGCACCUGCUGGAGAUAUGCAAGCACAUCUUGGUCUCCUUUGCGAAGGUUGAACAGUUGCAUUUGAAUUUGCACAAUCUUGAUUGCGUCGGAGCACCAAACGUUGCCCAGAGUGUUUCCCAAAUCUCCAACGAUGAGAUGAGUCUGAUUGUGUAUGCAAGACUUCCUCGGUUAGAGAUGAGAUUAACCAACUCCUAAGUAGUUGGUCCUUCCUCCACCAAUUCAAGAAUGCCGGAUUCAUCGUCGGACCAUCCUUGCCGGAGAUAAGUUUUUCCGAUGCCGGAAUUGACGAAUCGAUUACACAGUGGAGAUCGGUGUAGUUGAAGAUUGGAUCGAAUUGAUUCUUCCAAAGAAUGUAGUUGGAAGAGCUUAGCUUGACAUUGAGAAGAUGGUGGAGUAAUCCCAAGUUUGGAGUCGCCGGUGUGAAAGAUUCAUCGGAUGAGAUGAUUGAGCUCAUCGAAGGUGUCACUGCGUCGAAUGGCUCUGAUACUGAUGAAGCACUGAAUCUGCUACCAGGGCUCGCGGUGGUGCGAGGUUGAUGCCGGAGGCUUUGGAGUCCACGACGCACGCUCUACGUCAAAUACCUGCAAGUGGAAACUAGGCGAUUCUAAUGAGACUCGCCGAGUUUCGUAGUGAUGCUCUGGUGUGAGAGAGGAACUUGAAUCGUGCCUUUGAGUGUCCCCUUGAGACCCUUUUUAUAGGGUCUCGGAGGGCGCAAUCAAAGGCGGACAUCACGCCUAUGGUCAUAUAUGAUAACAUUUAUGACGUUGGCUGGCGGCGAGUAACGGUCGUAAGUCGCCGAUUCAGGUAUGGAAGUCGCCUAGUUAGGGCUAACUCGGCGAGUUUCUAGGGCCAAGAUGUACAGUCUACCAUACUGCCGAUCUUGCCUUAACUCGGCGAGUUAUCCUGUAUGUCGGCGACUUGGUAGUCCAAUCGGACGACUUACGGGCAAACUCGGCGAUCUGGACGAUGAACGUGUUCCGCACCGUGGGAGCUCUCCGGGGGUCCUGCCAUAGCGACGGAGCCCUAGUCCUUGUUGUAAGGUGUUGCUGGUAGUGACUGACGUAAUCAGGCAUGUCUCACCAUUACUCCCCCCUGAAGAGAGCACAAGAAACAUGCGUGUAUCUCCAGUACCCCCCCCCCAAUCAAGGUUCAAUGUGUGUGAUCCAGCACCAAGGCCAAAGCGACAAGAUGAGAUCGAAUCAUCCACCCACAGUAACGUAACGAUUCAGAAUCCAUAGGCCAAAGCGUCAAGAAUGGAUCGAGUUCCAGGCCAUGGUAACUCUGUUUAUAGUCCUUCCCUGAUCAAGGGCGACUGCACUGUGUUAUCGAGGCCGAAGCGACAAGAUAAAUUCCGGCCAAAGCGACGGAAUACGAUUCAGGCCGGAGUGACAGAAUCGGGUUCUUGACAGAGCGAUAGAACCAAGUUCUAGCCGAAGCGAUAGAACUAAUGUUUAUAGUCCACUCUGAUCAAGAGCGACUUAAAGUCCGCAACGACGGCCCCCUUCAAGGCUUUUUAGCGACAAGAUGGGUUGAGAUCGUUAAGGCCAAAGCGACAGAACGAUCUCUAGUGUAUCAAGGCAGAAUGAGACAAGAUACUUGGACUCACUAUUAGAGUCUUAUUCUGGCCAAAGCGACAGAAUAAUACCUGCAAAAAAGAAAAACAUUCUGGCCAAAGCGACAGAAUAAUAUAUGCAAAAAAGAAAACAUCCUGCAAAACAACUAGAUCAGUCUAAAAACGCAUAUGACUAUUGACCGAUUUUACCUCUUGCGAUAUUCUUCUCUUUACUUUGAUCAAUCCUCGGUGAAUCUGGCUGAAGCGACAGACUCACUGUGCUCAUGUUUGACGACUUCUCUGGCCAGAGCGACAGAAGUGUCGGGAGAGCUUGUGAUACUCCCCCCUGAAUUUUGACAAUUUCCGGCCGGAGCGACAGAAAAGUCGGGAGAGCUUGUGUUACUCCCUCCUGAGUUUUGACGAUUUCCGGCCGGAGCGACAGAAAAGUCGGGAGAGCUAAUGAUACUCCCCCCUGAAGUUUGACGAUCUCUAGCUGAAGCAAUAGAAAUGUCGGGAGAGCUUAUGAUACUCCCCCUCGAUGUUUGAAAAUUUCCGGCCGGAGCGACUGAAAAGUCGGGAGAGCUUGUGAUAUCCCCCCUGAAGUUUGACGAUCUCUAGCUGAGGCGAUAGAGAUGUCGGGAGAGCUUGUGAUACUCCCCCUCGAUGUUUGACAACCUCUAGCUGAAGCGUUAGAGAUGUCGGGAGAGCUUGUGAUACUCCCCCUCGAUGUUGUGGAAGGGGGCUUGUAAUUUUCCCCCUAAGAUACUAUAAGAUAUCCUAAGUCGGCGACUUAAGGUGUUAACUCGCCGACUUAGCAUUGGGGUUGUUUUUUGAGGAACCUGGAGGUUUGCUGAAGGGAGUUGUGAUAUUCCCCCUUAAAAUAUGACGAUUUCUGGCCGGAGCGACAGAAAUGUCGGGAGAGCUUGUAAUACUCCCCCUCGAAAUUUGACAAUUUCCGGCCGGAGCGACAGAAAAGUCGGGAGAGCUUGUGAUACUCCCCUUUGAAACCUGCAUAAAAAUAUGUUCUGGCUGAAGUGGUAGGAGUGUCAGAGAGAGUUUGUGAUACUCCCCCCGAAUUGUGAUAACUUCUGGCCGAAGCGACAGAAGUAUCGUGGAGAGUUUGUAAUACUCCCCUUGGAAUGAGACGACUUCUAGCCAAAACGACAGAAGUGUUGAUGAGAGUUUAUGAUACUCUCCUCCAAAGAUGGGCGAGACGGCUUCCGGCUAGAGUGACAGAAGCGUCGGAGAGAGUUUGUGAUACUCCCCCUGAAAUCGUGCCGUUGUGACAGAUUGUAGAGUUAUGCUUUGGAUGUUUGUGUCCGAGGCGAUAGAAGUAUUGAGGAGAGCUUGUGAUACUCCCCUUGAAAAUCAUGUCAAACCGACAACUUUUAAAAUAUUGGUGUAACGGAGGUAUUGGAGGGAGCUUGUGAUACUCCCCCCGAGAAUCAUGUCGUCGUGACAUAUGAAAUGAAUUUUCGAAAUAUUUUGCAAUCUUUCUAUUUUGAUUAUCAAUGAACUACCUUCUGUCUUUUCUUUGCCAAUCUUCCAUAUAAACCACCUUUAAAUUGUAACCUAGGCUCGAAACUAGAUUCACAAGCCGUAACUUAGCCACUCUGGACGUAAGUUAGACUCUGCUAACCCUCGCUUAGCCACUCUGGACGUAAGCUUGGUCGUACGAAUCGUAGUUCAGUCGUCAGUUAAAUUAGUGGAUAAUUUAUAUCUCCAAAUUGACGCAGAGUUGCAAAGAAUAGUACCAAUAAACCAAAAAUUAAGAUGCACAAUAUUAUUUGGAAUCGUAGGGUUGGAUCCGCAAUUUAGGACUACAAUUCUAGAUUUGAACCCCGGUGUUUUAGCUAAGCUCCAGCCAUAGCGAUAGAGUGACUCUCGAUCCUCAUCAAGGCCAUAGCGAGAAGAUGGGAUAUGAUCAUUAAGGUCACAGCGACAAAAUUAACACCAGGGUACCAUUAAUUGUAGUCGCAAAUAUUUAGAAUCUCAUGGUUUGAUUCGUAAAUCGGAGUCGUAAUUUAGAUUCUUAAGUCGCAUCUUGGACUUGUAAAUUGUAAACUUGACUUGUAAUCGUAAUUUAGACUCUUUGUCGUAAAUUAGAUUUUGUAAUCAUCACUUAGACUCGUGGGUCGUAAGCUAGAUUUGAGUAACGGGUGUCAUCCGGCCAAAGCGACGGAUUGAUCCCUAUGAAAUUAUCCCUUGUAGGUUUGCUAUAUUAAUCCUAGAACCGUAACGUAGGCUCGAAACUGGACUCGCAAAUCGUAAUUUAGACUCUUUGUCGUAAAUUAGAUUUCGAAAGAGAACUUAGAUUCAUAAAUAUUUGGAAUCUUAGGGUUUGAUUCGUAAAUAUUCGUGAGAGUCGUAAUUUAGAUUCUUAAGUCGCAUCUUGACUCGUAAAUCGUAAACUAAACUUGUAAUCGUAAUUUAGACUCUUUGUCGUAAAUUAGAUUUUGAAAGAGAACCUAGAUUCAUAAAUAUUUUGAAUCUUAGGGUUUGAUUCGCAAAUAUUCGUGAGAGUCGUAAUUUAGAUUCUUAAGUCGCACCUUGGACUUGUAAAUCGUAAACUAGACUUGUAAUCGUAAUUUAGACUCUUUGUCGUAAAUUAGAUUUUGAAAGAGAACCUAGAUUCAUAAAUAUUUGGAAUCUUAGGGUUUGAUUCGCAAAUAUUCGUGAGAGUCGUAAUUUAGAUUCUUAAGUCGCAUCUUGACUCGUAAAUCGUAAACUAGACUUGUAAUCGUAAUUUAGACUCUUUGUCGUAAAUUAGAUUUUGAAAGAGAACCUAGAUUCAUAAAUAUUUGGAAUCUUAGGGUUUGAUUCGCAAAUANNNNNNNNNNNNNNNNNNNNNNNNNNNNNNNNNNNNNNNNNNNNNNNNNNNNNNNNNNNNNNNNNNNNNNNNNNNNNNNNNNNNNNNNNNNNNNNNNNNNUUGUAAUCGUAAUUUAGACUCUUUGUCGUAAAUUAGAUUUUGAAAGAGAACCUAGAUUCAUAAAUAUUUGGAAUCUUAGGGUUUGAUUCGCAAAUAUUCGUGAGAGUCGUAAUUUAGAUUCUUAAGUCGCAUCUUGACUCGUAAAUCGUAAACUAGACUUGUAAUCGUAAUUUAGACUCUUUGUCAUAAAUUAGAUUUUGUAACUAUCACCUUGACUCGUGGGUCGAACAGAUGAUAGAUAAGGUCGAAGCGACGGAUGUCACCCAGUCGAAGCGAUGGGCGAUUGAUCCGUCUGAAGUGAUGAAUGAUUAUUCUAAAUGUGGCAUGCAUNNNNNNNNNNNNNNNNNNNNNNNNNNNNNNNNNNNNNNNNNNNNNNNNNNNNNNNNNNNNNNNNNNNNNNNNNNNNNNNNNNNNNNNNNNNNNNNNNNNNNNNNNNNNNNNNNNNNNNNNNNNNNNNNNNNNNNNNNNNNNNNNNNNNNNNNNNNNNNNNNNNNNNNNNNNNNNNNNNNNNNNNNNNNNNNNNNNNNNNNNNNNNNNNNNNNNNNNNNNNNNNNNNNNNNNNNNNNNNNNNNNNNNNNNNNNNNNNNNNNNNNNNNNNNNNNNNNNNNNNNNNNNNNNNNNNNNNNNNNNNNNNNNNNNNNNNNNNNNNNNNNNNNNNNNNNNNNNNNNNNNNNNNNNNNNNNNNNNNNNNNNNNNNNNNNNNNNNNNNNNNNNNNNNNNNNNNNNNNNNNNNNNNNNNNNNNNNNNNNNNNNNNNNNNNNNNNNNNNNNNNNNNNNNNNNNNNNNNNNNNNNNNNNNNNNNNNNNNNNNNNNNNNNNNNNNNNNNNNNNNNNNNNNNNNNNNNNNNNNNNNNNNNNNNNNNNNNNNNNNNNNNNNNNNNNNNNNNNNNNNNNNNNNNNNNNNNNNNNNNNNNNNNNNNNNNNNNNNNNNNNNNNNNNNNNNNNNNNNNNNNNNNNNNNNNNNNNNNNNNNNNNNNNNNNNNNNNNNNNNNNNNNNNNNNNNNNNNNNNNNNNNNNNNNNNNNNNNNNNNNNNNNNNNNNNNNNNNNNNNNNNNNNNNNNNNNNNNNNNNNNNNNNNNNNNCUGUUUAGACCUAUCCCAGAAAAGAUUCCUUGCACUGUUGGGAAAUUCUGCUCUUUGGUACUCGUAGAGAAAACUUUUCUCACGUGAUAUGUGGUCUCAGAAUCCCAAAAUCAGAUCUGGGUAUUCCGGAGGUGGACCGACGAAAUCACUGGAAGUGAAAAAAGGCGAAAAUCUCCAUACUCUUUUUUUUUUUUUACCGAAACGACGAGGCAAAUCCAACCGUGGCGAUGGUUUUUCGUUUCGGUAAAAGAGCUGGGCUAUGAGUGGUCUUAUUCAGCCAAAGCGAUGAAUGAAGACGAUGAUCGAAUGGACGAGUUUGCCCCAAGAUAGGCGAGUUUGCCCAAGAUAGGCGAGUUUGCCCCUUGAUAGGCGAGUUUGCCCUAGAUAGGCGAGUUUACCCCUAGAUAGGCGAUUUUUGCUUGGGAAAAAUCGAACCUAUGUGAAGACGUAAGUUCCAAAGCAAAGGAUGACUUGACCGAGCUUGUUCAAAAAACAAAGAAAUAAGUCGGCGAGUUAGGGGAAAACUCGGCGACUUUAGAUUUCGAGGUGUUUUUCGAACAAAGUCGUGGACAGCACUCUUAGCUAGCAGACGAUAUCCUGAUCGGGCGAUUCUCAAGGAUAAGUCGACGAUUUAAGGCUAAAUCAGACCUGAACCGAGAAUCGGACGAUCUAACUCGGCGACUUUUUAACAAACUCGGCGAACCCUCUAGGAGAGCUCGAGCCGGAUUUUUAAAAAAUCGCGAUUACGACGGGAUACCGGUGGUUCGGUAGUCCCACAGACGGCGCCAGCUGAUAAAGCACUGAAUCUGCUACCAGGGAUCGCGGUGGUGCGAGGUUGAUGCCGGAGGCUUUGGAGUCCACGACGCACGCUCUACGUCAAAUACCUACAAGUGGAAACUAGGCGAUUCUAAUGAGACUCGCCGAGUUUCGUAGUGAUGCUCUGGUGUGAGAGAGGAACUUGAAUCGUGCCUUUGAGUGUCCCCUUGAGACCCUUUUUAUAGGAUCUCGGAGGGCGCAAUCAAAGGCGGACAUCGCGCCUAUGGUCAUAUAUGGUAACAUUUAUGACGUUGGCUAGCGGCGAGUAACGGUCGUAAGUCGCCAAUUCAGGUAUGGAAGUCGCCUAGUUAGGGCUAACUCGGCGAGUUUCUAGGGCCAAGAUGUACAGUCUACCAUACUGCCGAUCUUGCCUUAACUCGGCGAGUUAUCCUGUAUGUCAGCGACUUGGUAGUCCAAUCGGGCGACUUACGGGCUAACUCGGCGAUCUGGACGAUGAACGUGUUUCGCACCGUGGGAGCUCUCCGGGGGUCCUGCCAUAGCGACGGAGCCCUACUCUUUGUUGUAAGGCGUUGCUGGUAGUGACUGACGUAAUCAGGCAUGUCUCACCAGAUACCAUCUUAAACUUAUGGAAUCCGUCACCUGCCAUUGCUAAGAUGUUCGUUCGAAGAAUGAAAAAGAUGGAGAUUUUGGAAGAAUAGAGUGGAGAGUUGGAUGUCUUACCGUACUAAUAAAGGUAACAAUCAAAAUACAAACACAUCUAAAAUUUAAGAUAAAUUACAACUUUACCUAUAACUAAUAAAGGUAACAAAUACCUUUAACAAUAUAAACAAACAACAAGGAUAAUAAGUGUUGUCGAAGACUCUGAAUCUACCGUACUACGGUGAUCUUCCCAGUAGAGCCUCAAGUAGUGAUUUACCGUUAACAAAGGGGUUGGGUUUCUCUUAUACAAAUAACCUGCCGUGACAAUUCCAAAAUCUCAGAAUUGGUUUGGUAGAUUGGCAUGACGCAACAUAGUGACCGUGUAUCGACCAAGUGACGAUGCCUCAGUUCUGCACUACCCAUUUGCUGGUUGAGUAUAGUGCCGACAAUCGAUGUGCGAUGCCCAAUUCUUCCAACCUCUUUCCAAGCUUCAAGUACUCCUUCGCAUUAUCUGUUUUUAAUGCCAAAAAAUUUCUUCCAUAUUGCCGCUCAACCUAACAUCUGAAUUUGUUAAAUAUUUGAUAGAUAUCUGUCUUACGAUACAUCACAAAAACCAAAUUAAAGUUAGUGUUGGCGUCAACGAAGUUGACGUAUUAGUGGUACCCUUGGAACGAGAUUACGGGAGCCAGUCCCCAUAUGUCCGAGAAUACGAGCUCCAAUGAUUUGUAUGAUGUUUUACGGGAGGGGUGAGGAAGCGCAUGCGACUUUCCUAAUUGACAAGGAUUACAGAGGCUCGGCGAUUUCGAAACACAUUUUAUUACAUCUUGUUUCUCAAGAAUUCACAUGUAAAAUGAAUUCAAAUCCCCUAGACGACAAUGCCACAAGAAAUGUGAUAUUUUUUCACAAGAAUUUAUAUAAUUUGUAUCACAACUCGUCUUCAUCGGCAGCUCGAACAGUCCGCCGUUCACUCCCCCUUCAGUAUAACUUCAUUAUUACCCAAAUGAAAAUAAAUAGAAAUAUUAUUGUCGCAAGAAAAUCGAUUUACAGAUAAUAAAUUUCGUGUGGCAGAAUACACAAGUAACAAAUCUUGAAGCAUAAAAGAAGAUGUGGCAAUCUUGGCCACACUUUGCCUAGAUUAUGUAAUCGGAAGUGGAGUACCAUUGGUGGUGUAGAUGAAAUCUUUACCAGUAUACAGGUGCUGAAUAUUAUUUUGAGUAGUUGUGAUGUGUGAUGUGGCUCCCGAGUCGAGAUAUCACAUCGUCAUUGCAUCCGAUGCCGUGUGAUGUGUAAUUGUGUUGACCGACCCCCGACUACUUCCGUUAGGGCCAAGUGGCGAUAAUAUUCGGCUGUGAAUUCGGUGGGAAUCGAGUUAAAUUGAUGUGGUUGUAAUAGUCGACUGCUCCAUGUCCUUUUUGGGAGUUACUGUAUUCUUUGCCGCAACGUGAACUUCAAUGGAGUAGGGGAUUUGAGGUGCGUUUCUUGAAUCCAUCCACAGAUCUUGAUCCAUGAGAAGCUCACCCAGUUCUGAAAAUGUUAGUUUUGGAUCAUAGCGUGUCGUGACGGGCGUUACGAAGAAUUCAUAUUCGUCGCUGAGACCUCCAAGGGUGAUCAAGAUUACUUCCGAUUCUUUUAACUUUUACCCUGUAGCAGCGAGCGCAUCUUUAAGGAUUGAAAUUUUGGAGAUAUAUUCAUCCAUGGUCAACCCUCUCCUAUCGAUUGUAAUUGUAAUCGAAGAUGCAGGUUCCGAGUCUGUAUGCCUGAUGUAUAAAGGCGAUGAAGGCAGGACCAGACACCGAUGGAAGUUCUGUAUGAUGCGACUUGUGGAAGAAUUGACGUCGGUAUCCUCGUUACGAUCCAACUUAAAAUCAACUAAUCCUGUUGAAUCUUCUCCGGUGAUGAAAGCUCGACCUCCCCACACACCUACUCAAACAGCUCGAACACACGUAACAUAGCGGAAAAUUGCGUCUCCCAAGAGAAGUAAUUGUUCUUCUCAAGAAGUACGCAUCUGAUCGGCUUUGUAACGAUCUUGGAUGAUCUAACCGAUCUAUUAGCAGCAUAAAAUGAUGGUGCUUGACUCGUCAUUGAAGAGAGUCCACUUCUUGUGAAUGCUUAACCAAGCAGCUGAUACCAUAUAUAUAAGAAUAACUGAACUUGUAUUCAAACUUGAUGAUGAGUUAUUACAUUGUAUUGUUAUUUAUAGAUUUACUAAUAAACUAUAUUUAGUUAUUAGUUAGUUAACAACCGCCACAUGGAUUAUGUGGCUCCAUACACUCCAUAUUGUGCGAUAUUCCCAGAAGACUUCAAACAACUUGUCAACCCACAUUCCUUUUACUUAUUCUAUUUUCUUUUUAAACCAUUGAAUGAUUGCUUUGUUGGUAACAUCGAUUUGUCUCGUACAUUUAUUACAAGAAAACAGACGACGGAUUUUGACGUUUUCUAAAUUUAAAGAAAGAUUUAGUAAAAAUCCACAAUACUAGGGACAGCUUAUAGAGUUGAUGAAGCCAUCCCUAAGGAUACUAAGGAUUAGAUAAUCCGUCCCUAAUUUAUAAAUUUUCUACAGGGUUAGCGACCGCUUUUAAAAAUGAGGGCUUUUAAAAAAACCCUCAUUUUUUGUGUGAUAAUUUUUGUACAUAGUUAGGAACGACAUUCCAUAUAAGUCGUCACCUUCAUUACUAAUUAGCGAAGUCUUUUUGAAAAGCCGACUCUAAUUUUGUUUUUUGAAAUAACCUUUCUAAUCAUUUAUAAUAAUUUAUUAUUUUUAUAUAGGGACAGCCGACAGGAGGUCCUCCACCUUAUUUACGGAUGGAUGUGUGCGGACAAUCCCGACCAAUUUCAAUCUCACGAUGACUUCAAAUAAUAUUAAAAUAUUUCCAAAACUUCACAAUCCCCAAUAUCACAACAAACCACUGUUAAUCUGCUCAAAAAAUUUAAUUUAACGGCUGUCAUUCCAUAUCACAUUUGGAUGGUCAUUGCAGGUGCACACUCAGCCGCAAAUAAGGUGCCAAUUUAUAUAAUAUUAUAUUACUUUAGGUUUGUUUAUAUAAAGUUACCCAUAAAAUAUAUUAUUUACAAUCUAUCUACCCAAAAUAUAUUAUCUAAAUUCACCCUAAAUCGUAAAACCCCAACUUACCAUUUCUUCCACCAGAUUCCAACUCUCUAAAAAGUUUGGGUAAGGUAAACAGGUGGGAAGAUAAAAGGUUACAUUCUUAGGAUGAGGCCUGACAAUGACUCAAUGCUCUCUCAAAUGAGUAACUUAUCAAAUGAGUGCAAAAGAAAUCGAAGGAAAGAAAAUAGAAGGCUUCGAUUUAUGUGUAAAACAAGCCGUUAACAAAGAAAUGGUAGCAUUGAAAAAGCAACGAGAGAGACAAAGGAAAUGCUGGAGAAUUGCAUGUUUACUUAAGCGUUUUAGAUAUCGCUGAUACAGGAUUGUACACUAGCCCUUCCCGUCAAAAGGGACUAAGGUUUCGUUCGCUUUAUGUCAGACUCUUGGAAGAUACCCACGGAAACGGAAUCAAAAGUCUUCGUCGAGACCCAAGUCAACCCUCCAAAUUGUCAAUUGGGCCUGCCAUAUCGACUUCUCCCUCAAACUCAUCGGUUCCAACCCAAAUCGCCAAUUUCAGAGCGUUACUCGCGUCCAGUCUAGGCGUCAUAAUGGCUGCCAUUAUUCCCAGAACAUGAUCUCCGUUCUAGAUAGCGCCUCUCGAGGCCCUAUAAAAGGGGACCGCUGGAGCACAUCAAAGGCAUGAGUUCCACACCUUCCAAAGCGACAUUUACUGAGCAAAUCGCCGAUUUUCUCCCCUGAAGACUUGACGUAGAGUGUGCGUCGUUGAGUUUAGAGCCUCCGGCACGAGAAGAUGACCGCUCGCACCACCACGAGCGCUUGUAGGAUUAUUUAUUCCUCAUCAGCUGUUGACCUGUCGUCGUCUGUAGGAGGAAAAUCGAACUCACUGAUUUCUCUUGCAAAUCGUCGAUUUUUUGAAACCGUCGAUUGUUUGUAAGUUUUCUACCGUCGUAGGCCUCCGACCGCGAAGCUCUGCCAAAUUUCCCUGGUGCAAAAAAUUGUUGAUUUUGACUAGUCUAAUCGUCGAUUUGUACCUGGUUUUUGGUGACUUCUUCAACUCAAUUAAGGGACUUUAGUCCACUAAGUCAAAUUGCAGAUUUCAAUCUCAAAUCUCCGAUUUGGUCUUCUAGCUUGGUCAUCUAUACAUUCAUCGCUUCGGCUGAAUUAGACAACCCACGGUCCAUCGCUUCGUCUGGGUGCAUAAUCAAUCGCUUCGACUGGAUUCAUUUCUUCAUAGGUGUAAUCUGAUAAAAAAAUCGACGAUUCAGUAGGGGCAAUCACCGAUUUUUCUGUAAUAAUCGUCGAUUCCCCUAGGGCUAAUCGAUGAUUUCUUUUCAACAAAAGGCCAAAUGUCAAAUUCAGGCCCAUAGGUUUCGCGGAACUCAAUGUGAAAUCACUCACGGGAAUCUUCGAUUUCACAAGUGAAAUCGCCGAUUUCUUGGAGGAACUGGCAAUCAGCAUUCGCUGAGCUACCAUCAAUAUUUCUUUAUUUACAGAUGGCCUAAUCGGCGAUUCCACAUAGGAACUUGCCGAUUUAUGGACGGUUUGGGGCGAACCCUCAGUGAAUGUGGAAAUCGGCAAUUCAACCUGGUUGAUCGUGUCGAUUAUGUAACAACCACAAAAAUUGUUAAGGGUCUAAAUGCAAAUAACAUAUCCACUCAGGUGUUAGUUAAGGUAAAUUUAAUCAUAUUAACCUAAAGUGUUUAAUAUGAUUAAUCAUUUAGGAAGUUAAUAUAAUUUAUCAAAAAAAGAGCUUAAUUAAUUAAGGGAGUAAAAAUAAUUAUUUAACUAAGUAUUAGAAGGUAAAAAUAAUUAUCUAAAUAAAAAGUUAAAUAUGGAAAUUCCAUCACAAGAUCUCUCCAUUAACUUUUAUCUAAUCAACCAACAUACCAAUCAUUCAUAUUGUUAUAUUUUUUAUUGGAUCAUUUAUAAAGUUGAAUCAAUUUUAAUUAACUUGGCGGGUUAAUUAAAUUAGAUGGAUUAAACCCAACUAAUGGGCUAGUCAACUAGAGCCUACCACACUAGUCGACUAGGGUUAGAAAUGGGGAAGAAGUGGAGGUAAAUAUAUAUCUUAAUUAGUUGGCACUAAUCAAGUAAAAAGGAAGUUUUUGAAAUAAUUUGAAUUAAAACUUGAAAUUAAGUUUUUGAAAUUUAAGUUUGAUGUUUGGAGAUAAUGUUUGAAUGUGGAUAUAUUUGUGAUAAAAUUGUUGGGAUAUUUAUAUAUGUUUAAGAUAAAGUUAGUAGAUUAAGGUUUUAGCAAGUUUCAAUUAUUUAUAAAGAUUUAUCAAUUUGAAUUCGAUUUCUAUGUUUCGUAAGAUUUAAGAUUUUUCUUGUUAAAACAUUAAAAUCGAGUUGGGCUGAUUAUAUGGGUAUGUUACAGAUUUUCAUAGAGUUUUAUUUAAUUGAAAUUUGUAAAUCAUAUAGAGCUAAAUAAAAGGGUAUUUUACAUAUGUCCUUUGGGUUUUAUAUACUUAAAAUUAAUAAAUUGUUUAAUGCUAAAUCAAAGCAUAUUUUGCAUUUAUGCUUAGAAUUUUAAUUAAUAAAAAUCGAUUGGGAUUAAAGGGGUUAAUUAUUUUUUUACAUGCAUUAGUUUAUUUCAUGAAAUAUUACUAUUUAUAAUGAGAUUGAAUGAGAUUAACAUAUCAUAAAUUUUAUGGUUGUUCUAAGUACUAAGGUUGUUGAAACUUUAUAUGUUUUCUUUUCUUUUUUUGGGUUUGUACAACUCAUUUAGGAUGAAUUACUAUAAUAAUAAUUGUAUAAAUUAUAUGAUUGAUUUAAAUGGAAAGUUUGUUAUGUGUUUCCAUUUUGAUAUUUGUGUAAAUCAAUUAAGGUGAAUCAUUUUGGUAAAUAUAAUUGUACUGAUUUUAGAGUUGAUUUAAGUGGAAGGUUUGUUAUAUGUUAACUAUAUGUUUUCAUUUAAUAUUUGAGUAACUCAAUUAGCAAUUAGAGUUGUAUCACUAUGGUAAUACUCUCAUAUUUAAUUAAAAAGGGGAAAGAGUGAAAAUGUAAUAGGUUUGACUUGGUGACGGUUUGACCUAAGGACCAAAGGUUUAGAUAAACCUAGCUUGUUGGACCAACCAUGGGUUCGAGGUAACACCUAAGAUAAAUUAAAGAGUCCUCGGGAAGAACUUUAGUUCACCUUAUGGUCUACUUCGAACUCAAGUUCACCUGGUAAAGGUGUUUGGGAAUGGAAGCCUAGAACCAGAGAAUGCCUUGGGUGUACGAGUGAGGUCGGGAGUUUUCGGGAAGACCUUCUGCUCACAUUAGGGUCUAGCGUAGAUCUUAGUUCACGUUUGGGAUUCAAACCCAACCUCAAUUGGGUCAAAUCUAAACGCACACGGGUUAGGAGAGAUUAAUUGGACAUACCACGUCUGACUCAAAUUUUCUAAAUCCUAACUGUGGGUGUAGUUUAAGAUGUUGACCGGGUGGAGCUGUCAGAGUUAGCCUGACAAAAGGCAAGGAAUCAAACUGAAAAUAUACGUUGGAAUAAAUGUACCCUUUGGAGAGUCUAUGUUAUUAUGCCCUUCGAGGAGUCUGAAUUAUUUUGCCUGUUGGGCAAUCUGAUAAGUUAUUGUGCCCUUUGGGGAGUCUGAGCUAUUGUGCCCUUCGGGGAAUUUGAGUUAUUGUUCCCUUCGGGGAAUCUGAAUAAUAUUAAUUGUGCCCUUCGAGGAGUUUAAAUAUUGAUUGUGCCCCGACAUGGGAGUCUGGUUGGGUGAACCCAUAGGAGACCUCAGUUUAAUAUGGAUAAUUAGGAAUGCCCUUCGGGCAGUUGGAAUUGACGAACACAUGGGGGAAAUCGAGUAUGAGCCUGACAAGGUGAAUGGCCCGACGGGUCAGUUUGGUAGGAUCACUUCUCCAGGAUAAUUCGAGUCUAGUUGAGAUUAUUGUAGGAGUCUCGUACAUGAUUUUCCUGAGGAUUUAUCUGAUAGUACAAGGUCCGACACACAGACCAUAGUACUAAAGGACGUAUCCCAAAGUAUCUAAUACGCAGAGGAGGGGGGAGUACUGGUGAUACAGUAUCCCGAACACGGUCACAACCUACCAGCAACUAGAAAUCCGGAUAGCCUAAGAUGAGUUAAGGUAUCUAUUCUAGGGUUGGGGAGGUCCCAGGUCGAAUCCUAGGAAGAUCGACUUUCCUGANNNNNNNNNNNNNNNNNNNNNNNNNNNNNNNNNNNNNNNNNNNNNNNNNNNNNNNNNNNNNNNNNNNNNNNNNNNNNNNNNNNNNNNNNNNNNNNNNNNNCCCGAUCUGAUCAGUUUGGCAGUUAGGCGGUUACUGCCAAAAUGACCAUAUUACCCCCAUAAGAACCCCUAUAAAUAGAGGGCACCCCCCACUCAUUAAGGGAAGGUCAUUUGGAGCAAAAGGAUUCCUAGCGAAGCAGAGCUCUGCGCACUUGAGUUCCGGUCCGGUUUCCCGCGGAGUUCCCCGCUUGGCGCUUGCUUGCGCGUCUUGGAGCACUGGUCGGGUUUCACCCCCAUCAUUAUCGUUUUCACGUCUUAUGUUUUAGAACCUUGAACUAUGUAUAAUGGCUUCCAGCUAAAUGUUUAAAAUAAUAAACUAUUAGAAGAUAUAUCAACAAUUAAUAGUUAGUUUACUAUAGUUAAUGUGUAAUGGUUAGUUAGUGAUUGGGUUAGUUAAACUCUAAACACUAUAAAAUUGUAUUUUACAUUGUUGGAUAGGUUUAAUGAAUUUGAUUGAAUGUUAAUGAGUGUUAAGCAUUUCUGAGAUGGUAUCAGAUUUAUCGCUUCACUGUUAAUUUCGUUUUUCUUUCCUCAAAUCGAUUUCUUGUUAGAAAUUCACGGAAAUUUCUCGUCGAUUGCCAAACGGAAAUUUCCUCAAAUCGCAUGCUGAUAUUUCCGCGAUCGUCUACUGCUAUUUCCGCGAUCGUCUGCUGCUAUUUCCGUGAUCGUCUGCUGCUAUUUCCGGGAUUUCCUGUUGCUGCUUCCACGAGCGUCUAUUCCGCGUCGUCUUCCGCGAUUGCUCUGCGUGAUCGAUUCUUCCGGGAGCGAUUCUUCUGAGAUUACAGGUCAGUUAUGAUUUGUGAUUUGCGAUUUCUUUUGUGAUUUGCGAUUACAGGUCAUACGAUUUGCGAUUUGAGAUUUAUAAUUAGAGGGGGGAAAACUGCAAUAAAAAUUUAUAAAUUUACAGGAUGUUACACUUGGUAUCAGAACAUUGAAGGUUGACCAUGUACGAACGAGACCCUGAUACACUGCUCCAGAUCAGAAUUACUUGAGUAAGUAUAUGAUAUUAAAUUUAUGAUGUGUUAGGAAUAAUUUAAGUCACAAAAUUUUGACACGGGAGGAAAACAAAGGACAUGGCAAAGCAGACAAAACCGUCAACGUCUAAGUGUAUCUUUUAUCGUGUGCACUCUAACUGUGAAUUUUUUAGUUGGAUUGAAGCAUAAAUGCUUAACUAGAUAAAUGACGACUCUACAAAAUGUUUGAAGGUCAAAUACCUCACCGGAAGUCUAGAUGACAGAGGAUGGACUGGUUUGAAAUUAAUUAGAGAAAUGGAUAAAUUAUAAGGAUAAUAAAAGGGUUAACAUCACGAUCCCUAAGCCCAAGCAUCUAGGGUCGGGAAUGAUACAAUAUCUAGAAAGAUCAGAGAAAAAAAAUAAAAGAAAGGGGAAAUAGCUUAAGAGACCUUGAUAAAGUGGUACAAGACACUACAAAAAAAAGGACCUAAGAUGGCGGUCUUUUGAUGGCGGAUUUCCGCCAUCAAUAAUUCAGUUUUUCUGAUGGUGGAAAUCUGCCAUCAAUUGUUUUAAUCCGCCGAGGAAAAGCUAGAGCUUGAUGGCGGUUUAAAAUUAUUUUCGAUGGCGGUGUUUAGAUGGCGGAAAUCCGCCAUCUAAAAAGUCCCGCCCAAAAUUUUGAAUUCCCCUCCAAAAUUAACCCGAUUACCCGAUUAAAUUGACUUAACAUGGCGGAUGUCUGCCAUGUUAAGUAUUCGGGGAGUCGGACGGAAAAAGCCCGCCCAAAUUUCGAUUGGGCGGAUUUUCACUUUAGUGUCGGCGGAACUUAAGUGUACUUACAUGGCGGAAAUCCGCCAUGUAAGUUUUGGAGUUUAUAAAAAAACCCAAAUCUAGACAGACAUUUCCCGUCUGUCUAAAACCGCUGCUCUCCAUCGCCGCUCUGCCUGUCUCCCCGCCGCUGCUCGUCGCCGUCAGCGCUCGCCGGUCACGCCGUCGAUUCCUCGCAGGUCUCCACUCCCAAUCGUUGUGUCCUCGCUGGUAGCCGAUCUCCACUUCGAUUCCUCAACUGUGAAGGUAAUUUUUGUUUUUUGUUUUUUUUGUAUCGUUUGUUUAAUCUUAUU
This 43695-nucleotide long non-coding RNA is filed under the name Zostera marina. Its description in RNAcentral is "long non-coding RNA (ZMAR_LNC000258)". The record is from RNAcentral. Lineage: Eukaryota; Viridiplantae; Streptophyta; Magnoliopsida; Alismatales; Zosteraceae.